Molecule: ribosomal RNA, 253 nt
Filed under: uncultured bacterium
Lineage: Bacteria
Description: partial 16S ribosomal RNA
Rfam family: Bacterial small subunit ribosomal RNA
Source: RNAcentral
CACGUAGGGCGCGAGCGUUGUCCGGAAUUAUUGGGCGUAAAGAGCUCGUAGGCGGCCUGUUGCGUCCGCUGUGAAAGCCCGGGGCUUAACCCCGGGUCGGCAGUGGAUACGGGCAGGCUAGAGGUAGGUAGGGGAGAAUGGAAUUCCCGGUGUAGCGGUGAAAUGCGCAGAUAUCGGGAGGAACACCGGUGGCGAAGGCGGUUCUCUGGGCCUUACCUGACGCUGAGGAGCGACAGCGUGGGGAGCAAACAGG